UCAACAUUAAAACACUCGGUCCUGACUAACACCAGAGAUUACACCAAGCUAGUUUUUGUACUUAAAUUAUUCACAUCGAUUUCUGGCUGCUCAGAAGUGUGCUGUGCUAACAUUCUUAUGUUAGCUAGUGGUCUGUUAGCUAACAGAAAUCCACAGAAAUCCAACCUGACUGCAUUGUGUUAAACUGAAACAGCUUCAUGUUACGAAACUUGUCAACACGCCUUAACGUUACAGAUGUUAGCUUUAUAAAUUCUGGGACAUGUGAGAGCACUGUUAUGUGUGUUUAGCCCGUGUCACCCCCUGGCUAACUCAACACUGUUAAGAAAACGCUGAUGACAACUCCUGCUGAUGUCAGAGUCCAGUCUCUCCAUCAUCUCAGGUCUCACUGUGUAAAGAGAACCUGAACCUGAGAUCCUGUGUACGACUAAGUGGAUGCUGCUGAUGGAGACUGACUGACUUCACUACCACCCUGGCUGUCCUCUUCACAUCUUGCUAUAGUUCACAGUUGAAUAUCAGGAGGAAACAAUGACAUUGCUGGAGUCUGUUCAAAAGAUAUUGCUCAUCAACAUUUUUACAACACAUCCUAUUUCUUUUACAUUCAUUUUACUUGCAUUUUCCCUGUGAUUGUUAAGAUUGCUGUUAAGAUUAAGAUGAAAUAAAGAAAAUACAAACUACUACAAAUAAUAAUUCAGAUGUUUUCUUAAAAAGGACCUGUAAACCUUCUGUAAAUGAAGACAACAUAAUGUCUAUAAAUCAUGUGGAAUCAUAAUAUGAAGGAGGGAAAAAACAGUUGUAGAUUUCUCUACAAAAUCACUAGAGAUAUAAAAACUUUACAUCAGACUGUCAGUGGAGAUCACAGCACAUCAGUUUCACCAUAAACCAUGUUCUCUGUAGCUCUGCUGCUGCUGUUGGCAGCUGGAUCCUGUGUGAAGUGUCAACAGUUGACACAGCCAGCCUCAGUGACUGUGCAGCCAGGUCAACGUCUGACCAUCACCUGUCAGGUCUCUUAUUCUGUUAGUUGCUUUUACACAGCCUGGAUCAGACAGCCUGCAGGGAAAGGACUGGAGUGGAUUGGAAUGAGAUAUACUGGAGGCUCUCACUACAAAGAUUCACUAAAGAACAAAUUCACCAUCUCCAGAGAUGACUCCAGCAGUAAGCUCUAUCUACAGAUGAAUAGUCUGAAGACUGAGGACACAGCAGUGUAUUACUGUGCCAGAGACACAGUGAGAGACAGUAAUAGGAGACUCAUACAAAAACUACUUCCUCUAUUUACCUCAAAGACUUGGAACAUUCAAUGGUCUAAAUAGCAAUAAUAAUUGUCCUGAAUUGCUGAUUUUAAUGUUUUGGUUUUUUUUGUUUUCAUUCAUAACCACUAGAACCACCACUGAUAACAUUCAAUAACAUUCAUUCCUUUAUUAUCACUUUUUUGCAAUACUGAUUGUGAUGAACUGUCAGUGAUGAAAAGUAGUGAUUGGCUGAAUAUUUAAG
Thunnus maccoyii (southern bluefin tuna) is the source of this 1488-nucleotide non-coding RNA. NCBI's taxonomy places the organism in Eukaryota, Metazoa, Chordata, Actinopteri, Scombriformes, Scombridae. The record is from the annotation of a RefSeq genome assembly.